GCGGAUAUAGAUAAAUUGGUAAAUCAUCUGCCUUCCAAGCAGGAGACAUGGGUUCAAACCCCAUUAUCCGCU
Molecule: transfer RNA, 72 nt
Filed under: Cyanidium caldarium
Lineage: Eukaryota; Rhodophyta; Bangiophyceae; Cyanidiales; Cyanidiaceae
Description: tRNA-Gly
Rfam family: tRNA
About the family: Transfer RNA (tRNA) molecules are approximately 80 nucleotides in length.
Source: RNAcentral